ACAGCAGUAGCCGCGGGAAUACGUAGGGUGCAAGCGUUAAUCGGAAUUACUGGGCGUAAAGCGUGCGCAGGCGGUUAUAUAAGACAGAUGUGAAAUCCCCGGGCUCAACCUGGGAACUGCAUUUGUGACUGUAUAGCUAGAGUACGGCAGAGGGGGAUGGAAUUCCGCGUGUAGCAGUGAAAUGCGUAGAUAUGCGGAGGAACACCGAUGGCGAAGGCAAUCCCCUGGGCCUGUACUGACGCUCAUGCACGAAAGCGUGGGGAGCAAACAGGAUUAGAUACCCGAGUAGUCCCUGUCUCUUAUAC
Molecule: ribosomal RNA, 305 nt
Filed under: uncultured bacterium
Lineage: Bacteria
Description: partial 16S ribosomal RNA
Rfam family: Bacterial small subunit ribosomal RNA
Source: RNAcentral